Molecule: ribosomal RNA, 262 nt
Filed under: uncultured archaeon
Lineage: Archaea
Description: partial 16S ribosomal RNA
Rfam family: Archaeal small subunit ribosomal RNA
Source: RNAcentral
ACGCUGUAAACGAUGAAUACUAGGUGUGGGAGGUAACCACGCGUUACUGAUGCGCCGAAGAGAAAUCGUGAAACGCACCACCUGGGAAGUACGGUCGCAAGGCUGAAACUUAAAGGAAUUGGCGGGGGAGCACCACAACAGGUGGAGCCUGCGGUUUAAUUGGAUUCAACGCCGGACAUCUCACCGGAUAAGACAGCUGAAUGAUUGUCAAUCUGAAGGUUUUACAUGACUAGCUGAGAGGUGGUGCAUGGCGUCAGUGACU